CUUGCCUUGACCAAUAUAAUGCAAUGGAAGUGACACUGAGCCUGAUGGGAGUGCUGAUAGCCCCUUGACAAAGACUACCAGGAACACACCAGCAGUCAAAUGAAAUUGGAUUUAUGGACUAGCUGCAGUGAGAGAGAAUGCACACCAUGGGGGAGCCACAGACUGUCUCAAUAAGAAGGUGUAAGUACUGACUUAUAGAGGUAAUUUUGAAAAGAGUUCAAGUAAGUGGGGCUUGGCUCUGGAACAGAUGCUGUCAGGAAGCAGGGGUACUUCUAUGAUUGGGUAUCUUAAAUUUUUAUCUAGAAGGCAGAAGGAAUGGAAUGAAGUUUAUGUCAUAAUUAGUAAAGAAGCAGCAGUCACUCAUAUAAGCCACAUUGUUGUUUGUGUCUGCAUUUGGACAUGAUUAUGAAGUGGAUUUAUUUCUUUGUCUUGCCCCAUCCUGGUCACAGAAUGACUUUGUCUGAUGUCAGUGUUCAGUGAAAAUGUUUAUAUUUAAUAGGAAAAAGGACAGCCUGCCAGUUCCCAGCAACACCAAGGUUUAGCUGAUAGUGUCUGGCCAGCUCCCAAAUGUCAAGGAUUAUUUCUCUCUUUCAUAGGGGAAUAAACUUUAAGAGGCUUGAUAACUUCUGUUUUGGCUUGGGUUAAGCCAACCACUUAUAUAAGAAGUUCAACUACUUUGAGACCACCAUGCCAUAAGGAAGUCUGAGUUAGUCACAUGAAAAAGUAGUGUUAGAGAACACCAUUGAAAACCAGAAUUGUAAUUCUUGUAGUUCCCAGCCAGCUGCUAUUGGAGCUAUCUCAACUGACCACGGAGCAGAGACAAGCUGUCCUUGCUAGGACCUCAUGGAAUUUCUGGUCCACAGGAUCCUAAGAAAUAAAAUGGCUACUGUUUUAAGCUGCUAUGCUUUGGGGUUGGUUUCUUACACAGCAAUAGAUAACUGAAACGAGUAGCAAGCAAAUUUAUAUUACACUGGUAAGAUAAUCCUUGCAACAAAAAUUUUGGACACUGAGAAGACAAUCAUUUAAGAUUUUCUAAAGAUGUAUCAUAGGUUGGCGCAAAUAAUAAUUGACUCAUCUUUAUACUACAGGAGCAAAUCUCAGUAUUUUUUAUCUCCUUUUUUAUCAUUUUAUCUCCUUGAAGAGAGUGUCUGUAUAUUAAUAAUCUAACUUUAUACCUGUGAGAAUACAUGGUACAUUAUUAUGACAAAACCAAGCAAAACGGAGGUUUCUAGCAACCUGUCAAAAAUCAGCCAAGCACAUCCCAAAAUGCAGAGACUAGGUAAUAUUCAGAUUCACUGUGGGGUUUUCUGACUCAGUCCAGAUCAACCCUAACAGGCAGCUCUGAAGACUAUAAAGAACAUGAAAGAGAUUGGAGCCAAUAUUUAAAACCAUUCCAAGCAGGCCUAUCAUGAUUGGGCCAUCACCAAGCCUGAUCCCCAGGGCUGAUACAGAAGUACCAGUAUCAGGUGGGCCUGAGCUUCCCAGUCUUGAUUUGGCCACUCAGAGCACAUCUAUCAUAUCACAACAACAACCCCAUUACACCCAAGCCCUUCCCAGGGCCUCCUGAGAGACUGUGUUCUCAACACUCAUUUUCAGCUCCAGAGCACCACGGCGGCCAGCAGAAAGCUAUGGGAUUUCUGGUCAACCAUCAGCUGGUGUGCCAGCUCAAUUCUGCUGGUGGCUGAGUUACCAUUACAGCAGAACUAGAGGGAAAAUACAUAGACAUAUAUCCCACCACCAGAUUGUGUUUGCAACAGGGGUAGCUUGGGUGAGAUUACGUCCACGUAAGAGGAUUUGCAACACUGAGCCAACCGCUGCAGGCUGGAGCCCUUCCCACAUUGUUGCCCCCUCUGACUUCCCGAGGAGCACACCCACCUGCCUGCCUGCUCAUUGGAGGGAGACCAGCAGAGCUGCUUAGACACAUCUUAUGGUCCAUGGGAAUCUGCAGUUCUUCACGUAUGAUGCAAGAACUAGAUUGUUUUCAAGUUUUCAUGUCCCUCCCUCUUUCCUAUUGUGCUCCAUGUCUCCUUCCUGUUGAUUGCUACAUAAAUUGGGGAAAGGAAAGUAAGAGAAAAACUUCUAAAAAAGCCAUACAACUUCUCAUUCAUUUGUGGCUCCUAAGAAGUCAUGGAAGAAAAUACAGUGAUCUGUUCAAAAAAAAUGUUGAGGAAUUUAAAUUAUAGAUUUUGGAAAAUCAAAAAUAAACCUCAGGGUAGUUACUCUUGUGCCAUCAUGCCAAUGAAGAAGGUUAAAUAACUUCCCAGGACACAAGAAAGCCAGGAGCUGGGAAGCAUACACAGCUCGUUUGGUUCCAAACCCUUUCCAUUGGGAACCAAGUUGACCAACUAUUUCUGAGCAUCCCUUUCAGGUGUGAGAGGGUUUCAAAGCUGGCUCUGGGGUGUCAGGAGGAAGAAGAGGAAGGGGAGGGAAGCAUCAUUCUCUGAGGCAACUGAAGCAGGGUUGGGGGGACCGGUACUGAUCAAAGAGCUAACCUUACAAAAAUGAUGUCUUUACUCUAAGGGUAAUUAUUCCUUGAGCUUAUUAGGAAAAUCCAUAUCAUGGUCCAGAAAAAAAUCACCUGGCAGUUAGGGCCCUGGAUACCACAUGCUCUGAACUCCUGGCCUCAAGGAAGAAGCAGUGCUCAUGCUCUUAAAAGAGAAGGGCUUUAGGGGCGCCUGGGUGGCUCCGUUGGUGAAGUGUCCAACUUUUGGUUUCAGCUCAGGACAUGAUGUCAAGGCCCUGGGAUCGAACCUGACAUCAGGCCCCGCACUCAGCACAGUAUGCUUCAGAUUCUCUCUCCCUCUGCCCCUCCCCCUGCUCAUGCUCGCUCUUUCUCUCUCUCUCUCUCAAAUAAAUAAAUCAAUCUAUGGGGGGGGUUAGAGGCCUCCUGCUUCCUGCUGCGCGUUCACUCAGAGGGGAGGCAAGUACAUCCAGGGGCCCAGUCAAGAUACCACUAGGCAUGAAUGGAGUUGACCCAUGAUCCCUGGUCAGCUGGUACCCAUGGACAAAAUUGCCCUGCUCUUUGCACACGUCCAUCCAACAGAUUCUCCUCUCUCAGCAGCCAAACCCAGGCCAACCAGCCCAGGAGUCCACUUUUGAACAAAUGCUGUAUUCUGUGCAGAGGCUUAUUUAUCAACAAACUAAUCAAGCUUCCACUUCAGGGACCCCAAGUAGCAGGGGCCUCUCUCAAAGGGCUACAUGCAAUUUAUAUCCAUGAUCUGUUAUUAUUUUUCUGUAAGAUAGCCCUCCCAAUUGUAGAUUCCCCAGGUUUCAAAAACCUGGAUCUGCCCCAUCUCUUAUGGGGCAUCCCAUGGCAGUUUUAAUUUAUAGAGCUUAUAACAGGGGCUUAAUAAAUACAAGUCAGAAUAAUGAAUGCAACACCUCUGAUGCACCAACAUGAGUCACAGAUACAAUCUCUGUCUUGGAGAAAUCCAAAGUAUAGUGGAGAAGGGAAACAGGAAUAAAAAAAUAAGCACCACAUAAAUGUAACCUCCUGACUUCAAUGAAUGCUCCACAGCUUCCCUGUUAGAGGCAUAGACAAUUGGAGGACGUGACCCAGGCAGAGAGGUUCCCAGGAGGCAAUGGUGGAACUGAGAUCUGAAGGAAAUGAGAAUUAACCAGGCGGAAGGGGGUGGGGGCAGAGAACUUUCUAGGCUGCGAAGACAGAAGUGCCAUGAGGGAAAGGCCAGGACAUGUCAUAGGUACUGAGAGAAGGCUCGAUCAGCUGCAGCCCAGACAGUGAGGGAGAGCUUGGUAUAACAUGAGUCUGGGAGGCAAACCAACCACGGGGGAACUCAUCAGCCACGUGACGGUCUCCACCAUUAUUAUAAGAACAAGGGGAAGUGAUGAAGCCGGCAUGUUUCGUUGGAGUGUUGGGGUGGCGGCAUGGAUAAGAGGAAUGCCAUGAGCAGUUACAUCAGGUUCCAGAGAAGGCAAGAGGCCACAGUCCAGCUGGCAGGAAGUACAUGGUGAGGGGGUUUGGCUGAGACAAGAGGAGGGAUUUCCUCCAUUGUCGGGGAGCCCAGCACCAGCAAUGAAGGCAAUGAGUUUAUACGGGAAGGAGAUGCCCUCUGAUGGCCUUGUUCCCCUGCUACAAGUGGGAAGAUGAGAAGAGAAACAGGAAGUGUGUAGAAAAUGAGAGAGAACAUUUCACGCAAGCAGUCAAGGCUCCAGACACCAGGCCACUUUGCAGGGAAGACCCCUGGGCCCAGCAGGCAGCUUAUGUUGCCCAGACAUAAAGAGGCACCAUGAGGCUGACAUGCCCUCUCCCGUGGGGUUUGCCUUUCAGAAAAGGAUCCACACUAACAUCACAGGAGGCCCGUGGCAGGAGUAGAAAGUUGGGGCAGGAGGACAUUGUUUCAAAUCUCCAGGCAGUCUUCUGUCUCAGCAUAUUUGGAGAUUUGAAUGCCUCUUUGAGGCAAAUGGUUCUCUCUUCCAAAAAAACCGCCAGUUUUUCUUGAGGAAGCCUAUGAGCCCACACUAAUCUGAAGACGGACGUUUGAGGGGCCCGAGAAGUGCUCUCUGUGGCAACAGGGUCUGGUGCUUGCGGUCACAUCUGGCGCUUGCAGUCGCAUCCGUGCCACCCCGCCAGGCCCCUGGCUUCAGGCAGCAAGAACGCCUCUUUGGUCUGUCUGCAUUCGGGCAGCACUGGGACUGCAAGCUGUCAUUUGCUCUUCGGGAGCUGUUUGCGUUAUUAUGGGCAUUUUGAUUCUGACUCAGGAGGCCAGACUGAGGCGCAUAAAGCAAUUGGCAAGCUGUGAGAGAGAGAGAGAGAAGAGGAAAUGUCACAAAGGUUCCAGCCAUGGAGGAAAUUUCUAUGGAGGAGGUACUCGAAGGAGGCUGUGAAGAACAGAGAGGGUUGGGGACACGUCGUGGAAGGACAGGGCAUCCCCAUGAAGCGAGCAGCUUGUGUGUGAUUUCUCAGCAGGCAGGUCUGGGUCUAUCGCUUACUGGCUGCAUGGUCUUGAAAAAAAUGACUUAAACUCUUUGUGCUUCCUUUUCCUUAAUGGUGACAAGAGCAGGUUAGUCCCUACCUGUAAGGCCCUACUGAGGAGUCGACAAGGUAAUUCUUACAGUGUCCUUACCACACUGCCUAGGCCAUUUGAAGCAACCCAUAAAUAUGGCCAGUAUGUUGUUUUUGUUUUUGUUAGUAUUAUAUGUUAGAAUAUUAAAAUGCCAACUCCUCUCACGUUUCGAAGCAAACUUUGAGACCACCAAGCAGGACUUUCCAAGAAGGUGUAAACUGACAUGUGGCCACUCCUAGGCCCUCAGCCAUACUUAAGGUAUAAGAGGACCAUGAGCAGAAAUGACAGGGGGAGAGGGUCUCUUUUCAGAGAGUUGUGGGUAUGCUCUGGUCUAGUCUCCCAAAGGUUAGGCAUCCCUUGCUUCAAGCUGGGGUAAGGGACUUCAUAAACACUACUUGGAGAGCUUGCUACAUGUCCCCUCAAUGGGGGACAUGGGAUUCUGCUGAUUCACUCCUGAGAAACACAAAGAACGCAGACUGCUCUUUCCUGGUGGUGGAGAGGAGAGGCAGCAUCCGGAAAGUUUGCUGGAGCAAAGGCAGGAGUGUUUCCUGGUGACCAUAUUCAGGCCUCAUGAAGAAGAGCUAGCAAGAGGAUUCAAAAGGGUCACUAACAAUGAAGACCUCAGAAACCCAAGUUUGAAAUGCCCAAGAUCUGCAGGAGGAGCCCACAGCCACCAACUGGUACAAACAUUCACCAUACCCAGGGAAAAGCAGGUAAGGGAUGGCUAGUCAAGGUAUGCACUGGGGGGUUGGGAGGAAAGUGUGUGGGGAGGAGGAGGAGGAAAUCUCUGGGAGGAGAAAGAAACAGGAAAGCAAUCUCAUCAGAGGAAGAAUCAGCCUUUAACUGCCAAGCCCAAGGAAUGCAAAGGCCAACUCACGCAGAAUUAAGUUAGUGUAUCAGUGUGUUGGUUCCCUAUUGCUGUUAUAGAAAAUCAUCAAGAACUUAGUGGCUUAAAACAGCACAAAUUUGUUAUUUCACAGUUUAGAAAAGUCUGAAGUCUGAAAUAGGUCUCAAUGGGCUAAAAUCAGGGCUGUCAGCAGGGCUGCAUUCCUUUCGAGAAGUUCUAGGAAAGAGUCUAGAGUUUCUUGCCUAUUCCAGGUUCUAAAGACGGCUGCAUUCCUAGGCUCUUGACUGCCUUCCACCCUCAAAGACAGCAAUUUUCACUUUUCCUCAUAUCACAUCAUUUGGACUCUCUCUUCUGCCUUUCUUUUAAGGACGCUUGUCAUUACACUGAGCCCACCUCAAUGAUUAGGGAUAAUUGCCCCCAUCUCAAGGUCAUAUGAUUAACAACCUUAAUUCUAGCUAUAAUGUAUUCACAGCUUCCAGGGAUUAGUAUGUGGAUGUGUUUGGGCCAUUGUUAUUGUGCCCACCAUAGUCAAUAAGAAUCUUCCCACCCCUCAGCUCCCUCUCUGCCUUAAAUUCAACCCCAGACGAGCCAGGAGCAGCCUGGCUAGUGUUGGAGGUUGAGAAACAGACAAGGAGCCAAUGUGCACAGUAUCAGCACAGUGCCUGAAACAGCAUGAGGAAUAAAUUAAAUUAAUAUUCAGUGAAUGUAUGUAUCCACAUCCCAUAGUAAUUGGGGGCCCAGUAUGAUUCCUGAUGGGAGCAGCCCCCUUUUGACGCUCCCAGCCAGAUCUCCAAAACAGGGAAGUCCUUUUGCCAAAACUCAAAUCCUGCCUUAUCCCCUUUUAAAUUGUAGUUAGGUUAUUGUUUUCACCCGAACUCUAGAAUUGUGUAACAAUACCUUGUAACAUAUGGCACACACAGCUCCCUAAAAAGAGGACCCAAUCAAAAUUUAUAAGGCAAGAGUUUCCAUCUCCGAUUUUAAAUGGGACUAACCGCUGAAAUUAGAGUUGUUGCUCUAUUUCGGACAGAGAGAAGAGUGUUCAGGACUGCCAAGAACAAGCAGGGCAGCGAUACCCUCCCAGUCACUGUCAGAGGCAACCUCCGCUCACCUGAACCAGACGGAGGGUGGGACCGAGGCGCGCAGGCUCCGGGAAGAGGAAAGUGAACAUGUCAGCUGAUCAGAGCCAACUUUUGAUUUUUCACAGAAAAGGGGAAAUAGGGCAACAUGAAAGACUGGGAGCCAAAUACAGAGAAGCAGUAAGGUGCGUCCUGUAUGAAAAGAUCAAGCCCCCUUGUUGGAGUGAGUCAGCCGUCCCACCAAACCUGCCAUCCCCCUGCAGGGGCUCAGGAAUCUUCAAAAGUAAUCACGACACUAACUAGAUAGUAUUUGUGUAGCUGGAAAAGAAAGUCCAAGGCAAUAAUCUGUGAGCACAGGCCAGGGCAGGUGAGAGAGGCAGACUCUCAGGGGCUUCAGCGAGGCUCAGCCUCCGGUGGCCAGGAAGAAGCCUCCAUCAAAAGCAACUAUGGCAUGCUCAUAGUCUUCUGAUUACCAACUUGGUUCAUGGAUUUGAGGAAGGAGUUUGGAAUAAUCCAGGACUUAACAAUUAAUAAUCUCCUGUAAUUUAAUAAACUUGUGUUUUGGUUUACACA
Molecule: long non-coding RNA, 7520 nt
Organism: Ailuropoda melanoleuca (giant panda)
Lineage: Eukaryota; Metazoa; Chordata; Mammalia; Carnivora; Ursidae
Exons: 2
Source: RefSeq, a predicted model, not a curated record